UAUAAUUAUUUUAUUUAAAUUAAUGAAAUAAAUUAUUUAAUAAAAUAUUUAAUUUUUUACUAUUUUAUAUGGUAAAUUGCAUUUCUAUAAAUAAUUUGACCAAUGAGAAUUUUAUAAAAAUAAGAAAUAGAAAAUAAUAAAGCUUUUAUAAAGUUAGUUUCAAAUAUAUUUUUUAAUUUAAUUUACAUACUUUAAUUAGAUUUAUAACCGGGGUUUCAAAAAAUGUACAAACAAGUACCUUUUCUAUUUUAUAUAUUAAUUAUAUCAUAAUUUUAUUAUCGAGAAUAAUAUUUCAAAUUUACAAAUAAUAUUUGGAUUUUCAAGUUUUUAAAAAUAUUUUACCUUUUUUAAUUUUAUCAAAAUUGGAUUAAUAACGUGGGAUUUAUUUUCGCUAAGGUACAAUUGGGUUUAAUUUUCCAACAGCGAUAGUGGUCCACGGUUUUGUCGAAAAUUAUAGUUUUGUAACCCCCUUAUUAAGGGGGCCUACAACGAACAGCCCCCAAGUGAAUUUAUCUCGGGCAAAUUUGGGUAAAUCGGCUGGUUUUAAAUUAGCAAAAACCUAAUAAUUGCAUAUAAAGGAAAUUAGUAAUAAAAAUAAAUUAUUAAAUUAAUCGGGUACCCUAAAGUUUAAUAGGUAAAAAUUAAAUUUAUAAGGAGUUUAACCCUAUUAAUUUUAAAUAGAUAUUAUAAAUUGGAGACAUCGGGGUUAUAUAAAGUUAUUAGCGGGUAUUUAUUUAAAUUCCAUAUAUUUUAAAAAAGGAAUUCAAUUAAUUCCCGUACGUAAUAAAUAAUAAUAAUAAUAUAUAUAAUAAGUUGGUAAGAUAUAAGAUUAUAUACGUUAAUUAUAAAACCUAUAUCGUUUCCAAAUAUUGCAGUAGGGUUUUUUACAAAUAAUAUAAUUUUUAUUAAUAAGUUUUUAAACCAUUACAUUUAAAAUAGGGUUUCCGUUAAAAUAUUAGUUUCGGUUUCUGGGAUGUUUAAAAUAAUAUAUAAUAUUAGUUCUUUUUACAUUUCCACGUUGUAAAACCCCCAAAUAAAAUAAAUAAAUAUCCGAAAAUGGAUUUUAAAAUUUUUCCCAACCCCGGCAAAAUUGUUAACUUAUUUAAAGCAAAUAAUAUUAAAUUUUUAAAACCACCAAUUAGAAUAUCUGGUGGUAAGUUGGUUUUAAUUACGCUGUUUCCACAAUUAAUUAUUAGGAAUUUAAUAUUUGUUAAAUAAUAAAAUAAACUUUUAAUUGCCGUUAAAUAAAUUAUAAUAAGUUUUAUAAAAAAAUAAAUAUCUAUUAAAUUGCAAGACCAAUAUCCGGGCGCGUUAAUAAUAUUAAAUAUAUUGCAAUUUAAAACCUAAUAGCAGGUAAUUGUAAAUAAAAAUUGUUAAUAUUAUAAUCGUUACAGGAGAUUUAGGGGGUAAACCCUAGGUGCAGCGUAGUUGUUAACGGGUGUUAAAAGCGCUAAAUGCACUACUAAAAUGGAACGUUGUACGCAAAUGGACGUUAAUAUAUUGGUGGAAAAAUUUUGCUUUAUCCUCUUAUAUAUUUUCCAAGAUUAAAAUGGGGGUCGGCACCCCAAAAAGGCUUCCGGUGCCGCAUAUGAAUUUCCGAAAAAUUAAUUUGUAUGGGUUUGUUAAAAAACACCUAUAUUUGCUAAUAAACCAUUUUUAAAUUUGCACGCAAAAGUAAACUUUUUAACCCGGUAUAGGGUAAAUAAUCCCACUCGUUAAUUUUUAAUCGCAAUUUUUGCAAUUAACAAAUUAAUAGAAUUCCAACCACCCCAUUUCGGAAUUAUAUAUUAUAGGCUAUAUAUAAAUAAAAGUGGGUUUAUUACAUGCAAGAUAAUAUAUAUAAUUAAUAUAAAUAAUAGUAGAAUAUUUAAAUUUAAUAUUAUAACAAAUAGCGGGGUUAAAAUUUAAUUGUUUAGAGUUUUUUAUAAAGAAUAGGUCUUUUAAUUUUUUUUACUAUUUUUUUAAAUUUUAUUUUCAACCGUAUAAUAUUUUUUCUAGUUGUAUAAUUAAAAUAUUUUCCGAUUAUAACCCAUUUCUAUUACAAUUUCAGUGGUUCUAAAUUUGGAAAAUUUAACCAUUUAUUAAGAUGUUUGGAAAAUUGCACAUAAGUAUUUAUAUCGGUAGAAUAUUAUUUAAAACAUAUAAAUAAAAUCGAUUUGUUUUGUUUCCCAGUUUUAUAUAUUAAUUAUAACUAAGAAUAUACGCCAGGUAAACGGUAUAUUAACGUUAAUAAAAAUUCAGUAUAAUUUAGGUUUUCGACUUGUAAAAACCCCCUAAUCACAAACUUGGUUUUGUUUUUAUAAAUUUAUUAUUUUUAUCCUUUUUUAAUUUAAUUACCGGCCGGGUAAAAACCCAUUUUAAGUUUACAAAUAUUUGAAUUUUAGGGAUAAAACGGAAGUUCUUGCAAUAAUAAUUUGGUCGAAUUUGAACGUUAAAAUUAUUACCCUUUUAAUAUUUUUGAAGUUUUUUAGGGCCUGUUAAUAAUUAUUUGGUUGGCCUUUUUAAUGGGCUUUCUUAUUUUCUUUUGGUUAAAUAAACAAAAAUAAUAUACGUAACUAAUAUUUAUUUAAUUUGGGAUUUCGAGCUGCGAACUUCAUUCUCUAUUUUAUAUUUUAAAUACCGAAAAUAACGGAAUUUCUAUUAUUUUAAAUUUCAAAUUUUAAAUUAAGAACCGUUACCGUUAUAAAUUUCAAAAGGUAAAUAGUAAAUUGUAUAAGUUUAUAAAGAAUUAUAUUAGCGGUUAAACGCCUUAUAACCGGUGGUGAAAAAUAACUAUUUAUUAAACUUAAAUUCUUGGCGUUAUAAUUUUCGUUUUUAAAUUUGGAUUUAAAAUCCCUUUUUAAAUUUAAAUUGUCCCUUUUUAAAAUUUGUAACGUUUCCCUUCAAAUAAUCAGACUGUCAACGGAUAUAUUUUUCUUAAAAAUGUUACGGUAAAGAUUUUAUAUACGGCCUGUUUAACUCGGGCGUAAAUUAACGUUAUAAAAUUAAAUUAAUAAAUUGAAAGGUUUACUGUUUUUAUUUGGGGAAUUAAUGUGCUGGACUUUUGGCGUUUUUCCGACGGUAUAAUAAUUUGGUAUACGGUAUUAAUAACCCAAGAGUGGUUUAAUUUAAAUUUACACCGUAAUUUAAAUUAAAUUUCGGAAUAAAACCUAUGAUAAAAUGUUAAUUUUGUAUUAAUUACCCUUAUGCGGUUAAUUAAACUAAUUACGGCCGGUAAUGAAUAAUAUUAUAAAUAUAAUGGCACACUUACCGUUAUAAUAAUAAAUUCAAGUUUAUUUAAAGUAAUUUUAGCGGAUUAUUUUGUUAACCCGUUUUGGCCGCUAUUACAAAAGUUGGAAAUAUUAAAAUAAAAACAAUGGAAUAAAACCCGUAGAUAAUUGUUAAAAUAUUAAAACCUUUCAUUAAGUAUUAAGCCCGUAGGUCCGGUUUUAUCACGUUAUAGGAUCGACCACCGAAAACGUAAUUUUCGAUUUAUUAAUAAUAAAAGUUAGGAUUAGAAAUUAUUAUAUAAUUUUUUAUAAAAUGGAAAAUAGCAAGGGGUGUAAGGAAUGCCCUUUUAUUUAUACGUUUAAUAAAGAUAAUUUCAAUGCAAAUAACAUAAUUAAUAGCUCUAAUAUUGUUAAAAUUAGGUAAACCGUUUAUAUUUCUAACAGUUUUUUUAAAUAAUAAUAACCUUAUACACCCUAAACGCCUAUAUUAUAACAGGGUCUUUUAGACCUGGAUUUUAUUAUAAUCGCCUAUAAUUCCAUCUUUUUAAACUGUUACCAAACUAUUUAUUGGUAAUCCAAUUCAAAUUAUAAAGAAAAUAACUUAUAAAAACCUGCAUUAAAUCCAAUAAUAAAAAAAGUUCUAACAACGGAUUUCUUAUAGUGGAACCUUUUUUUUCCGGAACUAAUUCUUUUAUAUUUAAUUGUAUAAAAAGUUAUUCAACGGUUUAUCAAAUUUAUAAAACUUAAUUUUAUAUGGAUUUUUAGGGUUUAUUAUAUUAAAUUUUUAUAUUAUAGGUAAGUUUACAAUUGUACUUGUAUAUUAUUCGGGAUAUAGUUUUUCUAUUACCAUAUAUCUUUCCGGUUCCGAAAUUGGUAUAAAUUUGAUAAUUGUUUUAAUUUUUAGGGAUUUAAUUAUUUAACUUUACCUCCAACGGGGUAACGUAACCUUUUAUAACCCCUUAUAAUAUUAAACUAAAAACAAUAUUAUAUUUACCAAUUAUAUAAACGUAAUCCGAAAUUAUAAAUGUAAAACUUCAGAUAAGAAUAUUGCAUUUUUUUUUACCUCCAAAUACAACGAAUUUUUGGCAGUAUUCAAACGUUUCCACAUUUUGUAAUUGCAAUUAUAAAAGGUAUUAUUCAAUAAUACGCCUUUUCUAUAAUAAUAUAUCAACCUAUUAAUAAUAUUUGUUACGAACGAAAGAAAAUAUAUAAUAUGUUUAGUUUCAGGGUUUAUUUUUGAAAUCCAAAGUUCUAUAAUUAAACCGCCUCGCCUUGGUUUAUUCGUACUUUUGCUUAUACCUGUGGAUCCAACUAGAAAAGUUUCUGGUUCGGGUCUGAGGAUAAUUUGUCAGUUUUUGUCGUUCGUUUCAAAUUAUUAUUUAUAUUAUUAUUAAAUAUAUAAUUUGCUCCGUAUUAACAAAUUAAAUACAAAUUGUAAGAAUAUACCGUUCGGACGUUAAAUAUAGCAAUUGAUUAAGUUUUUAACCAUAAUUGAGUUUUUAUUUAAAAUAUCCAAAUUGACGAAAUUAGAAUUAAAAUUGGAAAUAUCCCUUACUUGCAAUCCAAAUUUUGUUUAAAUAUUUAAUUGUCACGUAUUUGCCCGACGAUAUAAUAAAUACGAUAAUAAAUUGAAAAAUCCUGCAAUAUUUCCAUUUAAUUUAAUUUUAAUACUUAAAUUGGCCCAGCCUUAUUUCGCAAAAAUGGUCAACACAUUUAUUUAUUUUACCAGCCAUAUAAUUUGUCCAUUAAUUAUAUUGGCGGAAAGAAUACAGCGCGUUUUAAUAUAAGGACAUUUCGUCGAUUUUCGUGGUUGACGAGCAAAUUAUAUCGCCACGCCAAAUAAAUACCGCUACCAAUAAUAAUAUUUUUAUUAUAAGAAUUGCAAAAAAAAUAAACCCCCCACCUAUACACGUAAACCGGAUAAUAAAACUUUUAAUAAUUAAAUUCUACUAUUAAAAAUGUCAUAUAAUAUUAAAUAUAUUAUUUUCAACGUUCAACCUAAUUUCUUCGGUAAUAUUCCCUUUUGGAUAACCCGCAAUACAUUUAUUUCCAUUUUCGGGCUUUAUUUCCCCGUUUUUAACGUUUUUCAACCUUUUAGUAACCAGCUUUCGAGAUAAAAAUAAAUAUAAAUUUAUAAAUUUUAUAUUCGAUUAAUUUUAAUAUUUUUAUAA
RNAcentral lists this small RNA (5380 nucleotides) under Pyricularia oryzae. Its description in RNAcentral is "Magnaporthe oryzae sRNA M_BR32_EuGene_00052411". The record is from RNAcentral. Lineage: Eukaryota; Fungi; Ascomycota; Sordariomycetes; Magnaporthales; Pyriculariaceae.